CACUAAGGAGUGUGUACCAACUCACUUGCCGAGUAAAAUAGCCCCGAAAAUGGAUGGGCACUUAAGUGCGCGACCUACACUUAGCCGUCGGGGUAAGUGCCAGACCCCGAUGAGUUGGAGGGAAUGGCGGUAGCUACAAAACCUUGGGCAUGAGCCUGUGCGGAGCAGCCGUUAAGUGUAGAUCUUUGUGGUAGUAGAAAAUAUUCAAAUGAGAACUUUGAAGGCCGAAAAAGGGAAAGGUUCAAUGUGAACGGCACCAGCACAUGGGUUAGUCAAUCCUAUGGGUCGGGGGAAUCCCGACAGAUAGCGCGUUUCGUGUGUACUCCGUAAGGGAAUGGGUUAAAAUUCCUGAACCAAAACGUGGAGGUAGACGACAACGUUAGGAAGUUGGCAAACGUUGGUGGGAGCUUCGGGAAGAGUUGUCUUUUCUGUUUAACAGCAUACCCACCAUGGAAUCGGCUUGCCGGAGGUACAUUCCAGCGGCUGGAGGAGCACCUCACGUCACUUGGUGUCUAGUGCCCUCCCGGUGAUCCUUGAAAACCCAGAGGACCUAAUGCCGUCGACACUCGGUCAUACU
Molecule: non-coding RNA, 577 nt
Filed under: Solanum tuberosum (potato)
Lineage: Eukaryota; Viridiplantae; Streptophyta; Magnoliopsida; Solanales; Solanaceae
Description: Eukaryotic large subunit ribosomal RNA
Rfam family: Eukaryotic large subunit ribosomal RNA
Source: Rfam by way of RNAcentral